CUGCCCUCAAGCACGGCUUGUGUUUGGGCCUCGUCCCCCCGGGGACGGACCCGAAAGGCAGCGGCGGCACCGCGUCCGGUCCUCGAGCGUAUGGGGCUUUGUCACCCGCUCUGUAGGCCCGGCCGGCGCCUGUCGACACCCAAUCAAUCUUUUUUCCA
Molecule: unclassified non-coding RNA, 158 nt
Filed under: uncultured Trichocomaceae
Lineage: Eukaryota; Fungi; Ascomycota; Eurotiomycetes; Eurotiales; Trichocomaceae
Description: sequence contains ITS2
Source: RNAcentral